CCUUGGGAACUGCAGUUGGAGAAAAGGGGGACUCUCUUAACUGUCUAGCUCUUGGCCACAAUGCUGGGCAGGCCUUGGGAUGGUGGCACUCCCAUGGGUGGAAGGAGGCAGGGAGGUGGGAGAAGGGGCCGUGGGUGCUUAGUUAAGGUAACUGCUGUUUGUCCACAGAACUUGAAGUAUAAGCGACGUUGAAAGCUGAACUGCAAAGACAGGCCAUAUGAUUCCUCCUCUAGAGCUGGACCAAGUGAAGGAGCCCCACAGCUCCUUCCUGGGCUGAGAGCUGGGGAGAGAUACUUGUCUAGGGGAGGGAGUCCCCUCUGUGUCACAGGUCAUCACCUCUCAGUUUGGGUUACUUGGUACUUUGGCAUCAGCUUAGUUCCUUACACCCAAUCCCUCCCCUCCAGGUGCUUGGUGCUCUUCAGACCACAGUCCUUUCACCCUGUGGCUGGGACCAGGAUGGACAGAAAGGGAGUUUGGGAAGAAUGACAGAGGAAGCAACCUACAGCAUCUCAGGCAACUACUCUGUGUGGGCCCAGGCCACCUGCUGCUGUGGGGCAGAAGAGGACAUGGGAGAGAUGGUGCCCCUGGAGCACACCACUGGCUUCAAACAAGAUUGGAGCAAAAGAUUCUCCUGCUGGCUUUGAAGAAGCUGCCAUGUUGUGAGAGGGCCCCAUGGCAAGGAACUGCAGGUGGCCUCUAGGAAGGGAACUCAGAGAAGCCCUUGGGUGACAUUCAGAAGAAAAGAGGAACCACAGUCCUACAGCCACAAAAAAACUGAAUUCUGGCAACAACCAUCUGAGCUUAGAAAAGAGCCUCAAACUCAAGAAAGGCAGGCAGCCUGGCUGACACCUUGAUCGCAGUCUUGUGUGACCCUCAGCAGAGGACCCAUUUGAGUCAUGCCUGGACUCCUCACCCAGGGAAACUGGAAAAUGAUAAAUGUAUAUUGUUUUAAGCCUCUAGGUUUGUGGUAAUUUGUUAUGGAGCAAUAGAUAACUAAUACAACUGUCUACCAUCAUAAAUGAUCAGCCUAACCAA
RNAcentral lists this long non-coding RNA (1035 nucleotides) under Homo sapiens (human). RNAcentral's name for it is "HSALNT0391077". Lineage: Eukaryota; Metazoa; Chordata; Mammalia; Primates; Hominidae. The record is from RNAcentral.